UACAGGGUGGCUGCAGGUUUGCUACAACAA
Molecule: non-coding RNA, 30 nt
Filed under: Homo sapiens (human)
Lineage: Eukaryota; Metazoa; Chordata; Mammalia; Primates; Hominidae
Source: RNAcentral